GACGAACGCUGGCGGCGCGCCUAACACAUGCAAGUCGAACGAGCGAGAGAGAGCUUGCUUUCUUGAGCGAGUGGCGAACGGGUGAGUAACGCGUGAGGAACCUGCCUCAAAGAGGGGGACAACAGUUGGAAACGACUGCUAAUACCGCAUAAGCCCACGACCCGACAUCGGGUUGAGGGAAAAGGAGCAAUCCGCUUUGAGAUGGCCUCGCGUCCGAUUAGCUAGUUGGUGAGGUAACGGCCCACCAAGGCGACGAUCGGUAGCCGGACUGAGAGGUUGAACGGCCACAGUGGGACUGAGACACGGCCCAGACUACUACGGGAGGAAGCAGAGGGGAAUAUUGCAAAAUGGGGGAAACCCUGAUGCAGCGACGCCGCGUGGAGGAAGAAGGUCUUCGGAUUGUAAACUCCUGUUGUUGAGGAAGAUAAUGACGGUACUCAACAAGGAAGUGACGGCUAACUACGUG
RNAcentral lists this ribosomal RNA (466 nucleotides) under uncultured bacterium. RNAcentral describes it as "partial 16S ribosomal RNA". It matches the Rfam family "Bacterial small subunit ribosomal RNA", at positions 28 to 507 of the family's 1533-position model. The record is from RNAcentral.